This 307-nucleotide unclassified non-coding RNA is filed under the name fungal sp. Its description in RNAcentral is "partial internal transcribed spacer region". The stretch from base 1 to 46 matches the Rfam family "Eukaryotic small subunit ribosomal RNA", at positions 1786 to 1831 of the family's 1831-position model. Lineage: Eukaryota; Fungi. The record is from RNAcentral.
AAGUCGUAACAAGGUUUCCGUAGGUGAACCUGCGGAAGGAUCAUUAAAAAAUCGUUUUGAGCCGCAAGGCUCUAUUAUCUUGUGAAAUGUAUAUGGGAAUAGUUCCCUGCGCAGUGGAGGAGGAGGGUUUUGCCAAAGAAGGAGAAAAUGUCUACCUAGGCAUUUGUCCUUCUGCCUGCAGCUCCCAUAAUCUACCUAUGCGCAGCAGGGCUUUCCCAGUUAUUAUUAAACAUAUGUCUUUUGAUGUUGAGGAAAUAAUGUAAAUUUAAUAUUUAUACAACUUUCAACAGUGGAUCUCUCGGCUCUU